GAGCUUGGGGGUUCCCAACAGGAGAAUUCAAAUGAAGACUACGCUGAAUCUCCGUCUUCAGUAAAAUGUCCAAGCAGCAUGAUGUCAUCAAUACAGGAGACCCGUGCGGUGUUCUGCAGAAAGUCAACGUGACUGUGGUCGUGCAGGCGACACUGUGACAGGGAGCAGGAGAAUUAUCACCAUCUUGGGGCAUGACCGUGAAUGGCUACUCUUCCCAUACACCUCGAAAGCCUCUGGGUUCUCCUCACUAAUGCGGCUUGAGAAGAACACACGGACAGAUCCAACAUGACCUAGCAUCACGCAAACGGCUUUUGCAGACACGAAUCCAGAUGGAUUAAAAGGAGGAUAUAAUUGGAGUUAUCACCCCUCUAGCUUUAAGUCUUUACGGAGAGAUUAAUUUCUAAGCCCGAAUUAAUUGCGCAUCUACAGAUUCAGAAACUAAAAGCAUGGUUCUAGUUUUAGCUACUCAAUGUGGGGCAUGGUUGUCACGUAGAAAAAGCUGCAUUGGACAUGCAGGCUGGAAAUAUAGAGGAGAAAACUUGGAGUUCCCAUUGUGGCGCAGUGGUUAACGAAUCCAACUAGGAACUAUGAGGUUGCGGGUUCGAUCCCUGGCCUUGCUCAGUGGGUUGACGAUCCCGUGUUGCCGUGAGCUGUGGUGUAGGCUGGCAGCUACAGUUCCCAUUCGACCCCUAGCCAGGGAACCUCCAUAUGCCGUGGGUGCAGCCCCAGAAAAGACAAAAAGACCAAGAAGAAAAGAAAACUGAACAAGGCGUGCAGAUUUCGGAGUCGGAAGAUGGCAGCUGAAGUCAAGGCAGCGGAUGGGGCUGUCCUCAGACAUCAUGGAGACUAAGCACAGCGCGAGUCUCCCCAAGUCAACAGGACUCGACUCCGGAACCCAGCUGUGAAGCCUGAAACCUUGUCAGCCACCUUGUACCACGAGGCAACCAGCCAGCACACCAAGGGCGGCAGAGUGAAAAGCAGCCACGAGCCUGAGCCUCUGAUGGCAUCUGGGAAGCUCUGCCCCAGCCUCCGGCGGCCUGCCUCCAGACCUCUCCUCGUGUGCGAUAAUGAAGGCAUCUGAUUGUUCGAGACACGGCUUGUCAGGUGUUCCGGGGCAGGGCAGGAAGCAGUCCUGACCGAGAGAAAACGUACAGAGCGGCAGGAGCUAACUGCCAGAAGAGAGGGCUAAGUCAAGGCCGUGCUGGAACCAGCGUUAAGGACAAACCUAUCAAUUAGGGAACACAGAGGGUGGCUGUUUUUCAGCUCAGCUCCUGGUUCUGUGGGGGAGACUUGGAAACAAGAGAUGGAGCCUCUGUUCUGAAAGCGUUUACAGCCACGUGGGAGGCGGUCUGAUGAAAUACCACACCAAACAGCAGGCAGCCAAGAGCUGGGUUUUAUAAGCUCCAAGGAGGGGAGGCUUAGUGCAGGGGCAGUGGCUCAGACGGGGGUGGUUUUCUGGAGGCUGAGGGGCUUGAGCCUCGAAAGAUGAAGGGGGUUUGCUGACUCAUCAUUAGCCCAUCCAUGAUCUCUGCCUGGAGGCAUAAGGAUGCUACAGGAGGUGACCUGCCGACAAGGCCCUGGGGCACAGCAGCGGCUCUUUAAGUCUUAAUGCCCUUCUGGUUCUCCACGCGAGGUGCUUUAGGGGGAUAUUUCCUCCCUCUCAGAUUCAUUUACUUCACGCAUAUCUAUUGAGCCUUUACCGUGGAUGAGGAAUGGCCUCCGAUGCUGUGGACACAGGUGUGGGCAGCGCACACAGUACCUAACCUCAGAGAGCUUCCGCUCCAGGGAGGGAGGCAGGUGGCAAAUGAGAGGAAAACCACAAGGCGACCCUACUUCCCGGAGAGUGUGGCAAGCACCAGAACUCAGGAGGACACCACCGCGGGUACCACAUUCCGCCUCUGUGCCCAGGCCACCCCCUGCUGCUGCGGCGGCCAUUCCCCCCACCCCCGCGUCUCCAGGCUCAUCCACCGGCCCAUCUCCCUCUCUGCACGUCCCACGCAGCGUGUCCGAAGCUCCACUUCACACUGCCCCGGCCCUCACCCUUCGGGGCGGCUGCGCCAUCGUCCCAGCAACCACCCUCUGCCACGCCGAUCUUCUCCUCAAGGUGGCAGCACUGAUCCCUCAGCCUAAGGGGCCCCUCCGGGUAGCACUCCCGCACGUCCAGAGCUCAGGGACCACACAGAGGAUCACCCCAAACUGGGACACAGUGAGGAGGGACAGGGCCGCUCUUAAUAAUCACCUCAGAGGACCGGCAAACCAAGGCGUGUGUGGCCUCCUAGCCAGAGCCCAACGCUGAGGUCGGAUGCUCCAGACAGCCGCUUCCUCUGUCACCUCGCCGUUUCCCAAACCAGGGAACACCUGGGAGGUAUCAAUAGGGACAAAAAAAUAAACUACAAAUUCCACAUCGGACUGAUUUUGAGAAACGCUGGGUCAAUCCAAGAUGACUAGGUAUUAGUGAGAACAUCACGUCAUGUCACCCAAGCCCAUCUGACCAUGGAAUCCCUGUGCGGAGAGCAUCGUGUGGAAGUAACACACUUUGAGAAAUACUGUCCCAGGUGAAUCGUUCCUGGAGUUCGUCUUCUCUCUGUCCUGGUGUUUAGUACUAAGACGUGAACAGCAGGAUGGAGACAGGCUCAUACCCAGCUCUGCCUCUUUCCAGCUGGGUGCUGUUCUGGCUGCAAGUAACCCAUCAGCAGAGAUUGUGGUCCAUCAUUCUGACAGCAACGACGCCUGAGCUAAGAGCUUCUAGCCCAGCAGUGUUUUCCAGGACCCAAAUGUUUUCCAUUCCUUCACCCUGCUGUCUUCAGCGUGUUGCUUAACUCGUCUCGUGGUGGCAGGAUGGCUCCAGCACCUCCGAGCACAGCACACAGAAACAAAGACCUCCCACAAAGAGGGACAUGUCCUCCACGUGUGUAGCCUUGACCAUUGAUUCUUAGCAAACAGUAAGUUUUCCAGAUGCCCCAUCUCCAUCUCCGACACACACACACACACACACACACACACACACACACACACCCUCACGCCUCUAUAGAAGACGUCUCCUCCCCAGGUCUCUGGCUAAGCAGGGUGUCCAACCAACCCAGUCUACCCAGUCCGCCCAGUCCGCCCCGUCUGCCCAGAACUGAUGUUUCCUGGGAUCCGGCACUAACAGCACUAAAACCAGGACAUUCCUGGGCAACUUGAAUGAGUUCGUGGCUGGAUGGGAACAGACCCGAGGACCGCCUGCAUCCAUCCACGGACAGGGGAACGGAUGCACCACGAUGAGCUUAGGCGCAUCGGGACUUAGACGCCGAAACAGGCGAGGGAGCCAGCUUUCCUGAAUGCAGAAUGAGGGCCACCUGCACAAACUUCCCGACUCCUCACGGCGAGGAAGAGGGAAAGGCUGCUGGGGCGGCGCUCGGCAGCGGGGCCUCUUCUGGGAAAUGAGAUGCAGUGGUCAUUCGCUCCCGGCGAGGUGGCGGGGAAGACUGGAUAGGACAGGUGACCGUGCCUUACACGGAAAACCAACAACAGCAUCUUUUUACUAAGCACUUACUGUGUACCAAGCACAGUGCUAAAGCUAUUACAGUAUUCUCACCACAUCCAAACAACAUUCCAGGAGACGGAUGCCACAGAGAUUCCUGAGACACAAAGAGGCCAGGUGAUGUGCCCAAGGUCAUACAAUGAGAAAGCCGUGGAGCCAGGUCUCAAAGCCAAGUUGAACACUGUGAUGCCCAUAUAUUUUUGGGGGGGCAGGGUGUGAGGGGGGUUUGGGGCUGCACCUGGGGCAUAUGGAAGUUUCCAGACUAGGGGUCAAAUCCAAGCUGCAGCGCUUAGCCUUUGACCUACACCACAGCUCAAGACAAUGUUGGAUCCUUAACCCACUGAGCAGGGCCAGGGAUUGAACCCCCGUCCCCAUGGAUACUAGCUGGGUUGGUUUCUGAUGAGCCACAACGGGAACCAAACCAUGCCUCUCAAUCUCUCUGCCCCACUGCCUUGCAGUGUUAAUUUCCUUCCCUUUCAUCUCCAGCACCCGGCACAGGCCCGGCACACAGCAAGCCCUCAUUAAAUACUCUUUGAAUGAGUAGAUGG
This 4071-nucleotide long non-coding RNA is filed under the name Sus scrofa (pig). RNAcentral's name for it is "lncRNA (ENSSSCG00000045388.2)". The record is from RNAcentral. Lineage: Eukaryota; Metazoa; Chordata; Mammalia; Artiodactyla; Suidae.